RNAcentral lists this transfer RNA (73 nucleotides) under Arthrobacter caoxuetaonis. RNAcentral's name for it is "Arthrobacter sp. zg-Y453 tRNA-Asn". It matches the Rfam family "tRNA". Rfam says of the family: Transfer RNA (tRNA) molecules are approximately 80 nucleotides in length. The record is from RNAcentral. Lineage: Bacteria; Bacillati; Actinomycetota; Actinomycetes; Micrococcales; Micrococcaceae.
UCCCCUGUAGCUCAACUGGCAGAGCAGCCGACUGUUAAUCGGCAGGUUCCUGGUUCGAGCCCAGGUGGGGGAG